UGCUACUACGGAAAUCCAAAAGCCUAGAGAAAUCAUUCAGUGUAUUGCAACCGUUAUCAACUCAAUAUCUAGUUAUCUAUAACUACAAAAAUCCAAAAGCCUAGAGAAAUUCGUUUUUUAUAGACGUAUACACUCAUAUAUGUAUGCAUUCACCCUUAUGAUUGGAUGCACAUACACUCUACCCUUAUGAGCAUCUCGUUGUUGACCGACACGACACUUAUCACUGAAAAAACAACACCAUUAAAUUUAAAAAUAAAUCCAAGAAAUAAAAACAAUCAUAUUAUUAAGUCGACUUGAAAAGAGGUAGAAGGUUCCACCAUAAAGGAACCUAAUAAGGACCGAAAAGAUGGGAAAGAAACCAGGGACCAAUUGCCAUACUACAAAG
Molecule: long non-coding RNA, 385 nt
Filed under: Sorghum bicolor (sorghum)
Lineage: Eukaryota; Viridiplantae; Streptophyta; Magnoliopsida; Poales; Poaceae
Description: long non-coding RNA (SBIC_LNC002078)
Source: RNAcentral